RNAcentral lists this long non-coding RNA (654 nucleotides) under Homo sapiens (human). Its description in RNAcentral is "non-protein coding lnc-NEDD8-MDP1-1:7". Lineage: Eukaryota; Metazoa; Chordata; Mammalia; Primates; Hominidae. The record is from RNAcentral.
CUAAAAUAAUGCCAAUAUUCUCACUGAUUUUGGGGGACUGAUGUUGGAAGAUGACUCAUGGAAUUAAGAGGAUCAGAUGGUUCAAAGAAUCUUGCCCUAUCAAAGUUGUUUACAGCCUAAAAAUAUUUGAUAAAUGAAGGUAUGUUCAAAGCCUUCUCAUUCUCCAAAGCAGUGCUGCUGAGAAUAUGCAUCUUUUAGAAGGCAGUAGAUCCCAAAGACCAACAUAGGAUGUUUUACCUAGAAGACAAAUUGUACAUUGGGCUUUAAGGACUCAUGAAACCAUUGCCUGUUUCAGACGCUGACCGGAAAGGAGAUUGAGAUUGACAUUGAACCUACAGACAAGGUGGAGCGAAUCAAGGAGCGUGUGGAGGAGAAAGAGGGAAUCCCCCCACAACAGCAGAGGCUCAUCUACAGUGGCAAGCAGAUGAAUGAUGAGAAGACAGCAGCUGAUUACAAGAUUUUAGGUGGUUCAGUCCUUCACCUGGUGUUGGCUCUGAGAGGAGGAGGUGGUCUUAGGCAGUGAUGGACCCUCCAUUUUACCUCUUUACCCUGUCGCUCAUAAUGAGGCAUCAUAUAUCCUCUCACUCUCUGGGACACCAUAGCCACUGCCCCCUCCCCUGGAUGCCCAGUAAUGUAUGUCUACUGGUGGGAGAC